AAAAAAAGUCAGAUAAGUCUUAAAUGAAACAUAUGAGUUUAUGGAAUCUACAGGUUCAUCUUCUUUGUCUGCCAAACAUCUAGGCCAUUCGUUAUGCUUUUUAUGGGAUGAAAGAGGCUUUUGGUUUUGUGCCUUCAUGGCUUCUAUGACUAAGGUAUAGCACCUUCUUUGUGAUGUUUAUAACGGCAUCAUCAGUGGAAUUGGGUUAAUGUGUAGUGGCUCGCCUGUUAUUAAGGGAUCAGAAUCUCCUCAGAUCCGUGAAAAUGCAAAGUUAGAGAGGAUUAGGAAGAGAUUGUGCUUUUAUUUCUACGCAUGUUGAUCCCAUGAAAGUGAAGCUCAUUCUUCUCUUCCUAAUUUUCUUCAUUGUGAAAUUCUUUUCGGUUUCAAAUAGUGAAAUCCAUC
Long non-coding RNA from Neltuma alba, 402 nucleotides. RefSeq lists it as uncharacterized. The record is from RefSeq and is a predicted model, not a curated record. NCBI's taxonomy places the organism in Eukaryota, Viridiplantae, Streptophyta, Magnoliopsida, Fabales, Fabaceae. The transcript has 4 exons.